RNAcentral lists this ribosomal RNA (467 nucleotides) under uncultured bacterium. RNAcentral's name for it is "partial 16S ribosomal RNA". It matches the Rfam family "Bacterial small subunit ribosomal RNA", at positions 28 to 506 of the family's 1533-position model. The record is from RNAcentral.
GACGAACGCUGGCGGCGUGCUUAACACAUGCAAGUCGAACGGAAAGGCCCUGCUUUUGUGGGGUGCUCGAGUGGCGAACGGGUGAGUAACACGUGAGUAACCUGCCCUUGACUUUGGGAUAACUUCAGGAAACUGGGGCUAAUACCGGAUAGGAGCUCCUGCUGCAUGGUGGGGGUUGGAAAGUUUCGGCGGUUGGGGAUGGACUCGCGGCUUAUCAGCUUGUUGGUGGGGUAGUGGCUUACCAAGGCUUUGACGGGUAGCCGGCCUGAGAGGGUGACCGGCCACAUUGGGACUGAGAUACGGCCCAGACUCCUACGGGAGGCAGCAGUGGGGAAUAUUGCACAAUGGGCGGAAGCCUGAUGCAGCAACGCCGCGUGCGGGAUGACGGCCUUCGGGUUGUAAACCGCUUUCGCCUGUGACGAAGCGUGAGUGACUGUAAUGGGUAAAGAAGCACCGGCUAACUACGU